GACGAACGCUGGCGGCGUGCCUAAUACAUGCAAGUCGAACGAGUGGCGGACGGGUGAGUAACACGUGGGAACCUACCCAUCAGAGGGGGAUAACUACUGGAAACGGUAGCUAAUACCGCAUACCAUCAGAUGUUCCCAGAUGGGAUUGGCUUGUUGGUGGGGUAACGGCUCACCAGGGCGACGAUCCCUAUCUGGGCUGAGAGGAUGACGAGCAACACUGGAACUGAGACACGGUCCUGACUCCGACGGGAGGCAGCAGUGGGGACUAUGGCACAAGGGGCGCAAGCCUGAUGCAGCCAUGCCGCGUGUAUGAAGAAGGCCUUCGGGUUGUAAAGUACUUUCAGCGGGGAGGCGUUACCCGCAGAAGAAGCACCGGCUAACUCCGUGCCAGCAGCCGCGGUAAUAC
This 406-nucleotide ribosomal RNA is filed under the name uncultured bacterium. RNAcentral describes it as "partial 16S ribosomal RNA". It matches the Rfam family "Bacterial small subunit ribosomal RNA", at positions 28 to 526 of the family's 1533-position model. The record is from RNAcentral.